Molecule: non-coding RNA, 88 nt
Organism: Chiua virens
Lineage: Eukaryota; Fungi; Basidiomycota; Agaricomycetes; Boletales; Boletaceae
Source: the annotation of a GenBank genome assembly
UCGGAUAUGGUGUAAAGGCUAACAUUACCGCCUCUCAAUUCUCUCGGAUUGAUCGCGGUAGCUCGGGGUUCGAUUCCCCGUAUCCGAG